UACAGAGGGUGCAAGCGUUGUUCGGAAUUAUUGGGCGUAAAGGGCGCGUAGGCGGUGCGGUAAGUCUGUAGUGAAAUCUCUGGGCUUAACUCAGAGGCUGCUUCCGAAACUACCGUGCUAGAGUGCGAGAGAGGCAAGUGGAAUUGCGGGGUGUAGCGGUGAAAUGCGUAGAUAUCCGCAGGAACAUCCGAGGCGAAAGCGGCUUGCUGGAUCGCAACUGACGCUGAGGGACGAAAGCUAGGGGAGCAAACAGG
Molecule: ribosomal RNA, 254 nt
Filed under: uncultured bacterium
Lineage: Bacteria
Description: partial 16S ribosomal RNA
Rfam family: Bacterial small subunit ribosomal RNA
Source: RNAcentral